GUUAGAGUAGAGUUUCGAAUACUCCAAAAAUAUCAUGGUAUUUACAAAACCAUGGUAUUCAAAACAGAAAAAAAAUACUAUGGUUUUAUGUCGAAACUCCAAAAAAUACUUUGCUUCCAACACCCCCUUAUCUCCAUCAGUGGAGCUCUUAUGGAGUUGAAGCUAAAAUAGCUACUCCCGCAAUGUAUGUUCUUGUAUUUUUUUCCGAUUUGGUCAGGAUGAAAAUGUCUCUCUUUAAAGACUAGUUUGAUAACCUUAUUUUUUCAAUGGAUUUUCAUUUUUCUAAUUUCCCAAACUAACCCUAAAUAUUAACAUUAGACACUUGGCAUAUUAACACUUGGCAUAUUAACAUGGUUGUCUGUUUGCAUCACCUCGGAUUGGAAAAUAGUAAAAUCGCGUACGCAUCGUUUUCAAGUUAACCUCCACAUGAAAUGGAAAGAAUAAUAACAGAGGCUUUCGCCUGUCACGUAGUACAAUGUCGGAGGACAAGAGGCUGUUCCAAAGCACAACUAUCGCAAUCUGCAGGUUUUAUUUUCUACGCCGCCGCCGCCGCCGACGAUCCAACACCUGCCAUCGUUUUAAUAAACAAGACAUGUGUGAGCAAUGUAGGUGCGUAUCACCUAGAAAAAUCUAGCAUGCCCCUCUCUUUUGUUAUUAAUUAGGAAGAGAAAAAAAAGGAGCAUUGUUACGAUGGGAAUGGAAAACCAAUAGAUGAGAACAGCAGCACACCUAGGGAUGCCUAGACUGAAAUCGCAAUGCGCAGCUGAUGGCAUUUCAUAUACCGAUGGAGAGAGAGAAGGGCAGGUCCGUCAGGGCAAGCCUAUACACCGUGCCCACGCAGGCCAGGAUAUCCGUGCCUCGGCGUUGUGGCGGCCAGAUCUCGCCGACGGGGCCGGGAGUGGAUUGGCUGCGCGUCCUGGCCUUCCGUUCCUUGCCUGGCUCGGAUUCGUUCCAUCGCCCGUGUCCCUGUUUCCAAACAAAAACAAUGUCCCCGUCUGAUGGAGACCUGAACACAUGGGUACAAACGAAUCGCAACGGUAUAGACAACGCCGUCCCUUGUCCACUUUGCAAGUAGAAGCAGCAGCGAGCCGGUGGUGUUGC
RNAcentral lists this long non-coding RNA (1101 nucleotides) under Zea mays. Its description in RNAcentral is "long non-coding RNA (ZMAY_LNC000287)". Lineage: Eukaryota; Viridiplantae; Streptophyta; Magnoliopsida; Poales; Poaceae. The record is from RNAcentral.